This 488-nucleotide ribosomal RNA is filed under the name uncultured bacterium. RNAcentral's name for it is "partial 16S ribosomal RNA". It matches the Rfam family "Bacterial small subunit ribosomal RNA", at positions 899 to 1397 of the family's 1533-position model. The record is from RNAcentral.
ACUCAAAUGAAUUGACGGGAGCCCGCACAAGCGGUGGAGCAUGUGGUUUAAUUCGACGCUAAGCGAGUAACCUUACCAGGUCUUGAAAUCCAGCUGCAUUCUUUGGGAAACCAGAGAAGCCUUCGAGGGUGCUGGACAGGUGCUGCAUGGCUGUCGUCAGCUCGUGGCGUGAGCUGUUGGGUUAAGUCCCCUAACGAGCGCAACCCCUGUCGGAUGUUAAAGUAUUCGUCCGAGACUGCACGCUUUAAGCGUGAGGAAGGAAGGGAUGACGUCAAGUCAGCAUGGUCCUCUGACGACCUGGGCCACACACGUGCUACAAUGGGAUGUAACAAUGGGUCGCAAAGCCGCAAGGCGAAGCUAAUCCCACCAAACCAUCCCCCAGUUCAGAUUGGAGGCUGCAACUCGCCUCCAUGAAGCCGGAAUCGCUAGUAACCGCGCAUCAUCACGGUGCGGUGAAUACGUUCUCGGGCUUUGCACACACCGCCCGU